GGCUGGUCUGAAGGUAGUGAGUUAUUGCAAUUGACUAUUCACAGUCAGUUACAGAUCAAACUCUUUAUUCUAUACUCUCUCCCCUUUUCACUACUGUACUUGACUGGUCUUAA
Molecule: Y RNA, 113 nt
Filed under: Microcebus murinus (gray mouse lemur)
Lineage: Eukaryota; Metazoa; Chordata; Mammalia; Primates; Cheirogaleidae
Description: Y RNA (ENSMICG00000042858.1)
Rfam family: Y RNA
About the family: Y RNAs are components of the Ro ribonucleoprotein particle (Ro RNP), in association with Ro60 and La proteins. The Y RNAs and Ro60 and La proteins are well conserved, but the function of the Ro RNP is not known.
Source: Rfam by way of RNAcentral